GUGUGGGUUGUAGACUCCGUCUCAUGCUACCACUAGAGUGAAAGCACCGCCAGCAUUCAAAAGUGACCAAAACAUCAGCCAGGAAGCAUAGGAACUGAGAAGUGGUCUGUGGUCACCACCUGCAGAACCACUCCUUUAUUGGGGUGUCUUGCUAAUUGCCUAUAAUUUCCACCUGUUGUCUAUCCCAUUUGCACAACAGCAUGUGAAAUUGAUUGUCACUCAGUGUUGCUUCCUAAGUGGAUA
Molecule: non-coding RNA, 243 nt
Organism: Pelobates cultripes (western spadefoot toad)
Lineage: Eukaryota; Metazoa; Chordata; Amphibia; Anura; Pelobatidae
Source: the annotation of a GenBank genome assembly